This 265-nucleotide ribosomal RNA is filed under the name uncultured bacterium. RNAcentral's name for it is "partial 16S ribosomal RNA". It matches the Rfam family "Bacterial small subunit ribosomal RNA", at positions 1227 to 1500 of the family's 1533-position model. The record is from RNAcentral.
ACAAUGGCAGGUACAGAGGGAUGCUACCGGGCGACCGGAUGCGGAUCUCAAAAGCCUGUCCCAGUUCGGACUGGAGUCUGCAACCCGACUCCACGAAGUUGGAUUCGCUAGUAAUCGCGCAUCAGCCAUGGCGCGGUGAAUACGUUCCCGGGCCUUGUACACACCGCCCGUCAAGCCAUGGGAGCCGGGGGCGCCUGAAGUCCGGGACCGCGAGGACCGGCCUAGGGCGAAACUGGUAACUGGGGCUAAGUCGUAACAAGGUAUC